AUGAACGUUGGCGGCGUGCCUAAUACAUGCAAGUCGAGCGAACAGAUGAGGAGCUUGCUCCUCUGACGUUAGCGGCGGACGGGUGAGUAACACGUGGAUAACCUACCUAUAAGCCUGGGAUAACUUCGGGAAACCGGAGCUAAUACCGGAUAAUAUAUUGAACCGCAUGGUUCAAUAGUGAAAGACGGUUUUGCUGUCACUUAUAGAUGGAUCCGCGCCGCAUUAGCUAGUUGGUAAGGUAACGGCUUACCAAGGCAACGAUGCGUAGCCGACCUGAGAGGGUGAUCGGCCACACUGGAACUGAGACACGAUCCAGACUCCUACGGGAGGCAGCAGUAGGGAAUCUUCCGCAAAGGGCGAAAGCCUGACGGAGCAACGCCGCGUGAGUGAUGAAGGUCUUCGGAUCGUAAAACUCUGUUAUUAGGGAAGAACAAAUGUGUAAGUAACUAUGCACGUCUUGACGGUACCUAAUCAGAAAGCCACGGCUAACUACGUG
This 496-nucleotide ribosomal RNA is filed under the name uncultured bacterium. RNAcentral describes it as "partial 16S ribosomal RNA". It matches the Rfam family "Bacterial small subunit ribosomal RNA", at positions 29 to 507 of the family's 1533-position model. The record is from RNAcentral.